RNAcentral lists this ribosomal RNA (525 nucleotides) under Triticum aestivum (bread wheat). Its description in RNAcentral is "partial small subunit ribosomal RNA". Lineage: Eukaryota; Viridiplantae; Streptophyta; Magnoliopsida; Poales; Poaceae. The record is from RNAcentral.
AUGAACGCACUGAUGAAGCUGGUAGUUCAGGCAGCAACACUGAUAGCUGUGAUUCACGCAUGGCUCAUGUUGAUCCAAAAGAGAGUUGUUCGUCGUGGUGAUAAGCCUGUCAUUCAUUAUGGUCCAAUGUUAAUCUGGAAUCAGGAGGGGAUGUCGAGUUUGAACUACAUCUACAACUACAAUGACACAGAGGCUAUCUGGAUGCUUCAAAUGGAAAGAACACCUUUCGUCAGCCUUGUGCAGACCUUCAGGAGCAGGCUGUUACAAGAUAGCAUCCACGCCAGUGUGGAAGAGCAAGUAGUCAUGUUCCUCCAUGUUGUUGAUCAUAACCAGAGGUUCAGGGUUAUGCACAACACGUUCAGGAGGUCAAUGGAGACCAUUUCUAGGCACUUCAGGCAAGUGUUGCAUGUUGUUUGGGAACUCAGAGGAGAGAUGCUCAAGUCACCAACCGGCCGGACUCCUAACAAGAUUCACACUAGACCAAGAUGGUAUCCAUACUUCAAGGUGAGCACUGACAGUAUGUAG